RNAcentral lists this ribosomal RNA (440 nucleotides) under uncultured bacterium. Its description in RNAcentral is "partial 16S ribosomal RNA". It matches the Rfam family "Bacterial small subunit ribosomal RNA", at positions 338 to 795 of the family's 1533-position model. The record is from RNAcentral.
CCUACGGGUGGCUGCAGUGGGGAAUAUUGCACAAUGGGCGGAAGCCUGAUGCAGCAACGCCGCGUGCGGGAUGAAGGCCUUCGGGUUGUAAACCUCUUUCAGCUAUGACGAAUGUGACGGUAGUAGCAGAAGAAGCACCGCCUCACUACGUGCCAGCAGCCGCGGUGAUACGUAGGGUGCGCGCGUUGUCCGGAUUUAUUGGGCGUAAAGAGCUCGUAGGUGGUUGUUUGCGUCGGAAGUGAAAACCUAGCGCUUAACGGUGGGCUUGCGUUCGAGACGGGAUGACUUGAGGGAGGUAGGGGAGAACGGAAGUCCUGGUGGAGCGGUGGAAUGCGCAGAUAUCAGGAGGAACACCGGUGGCGAAGGCGGUUCUCUGGACCGUGCCUGACGCUGAGGAGCGAAAGCGUGGGGAGCAAACAGGAUUAGAUACCCUUGUAGUC